ACGGAAGGCAGCAGUCGGGAAUAUUGCACAAUGGAGGAAACUCUGAUGCAGUGACGCCGCGUACAGGAAGAAGGUCCUCUGGAUUGUAAACUGUUGUCGAAGGGGAAGAUACAAGACAGUACCCUUGGAGGAAGCUCCGGCAAACUACGUGCCAGCAGCCGCGGUAAUACGUAGGGAGCGAGCGUUAUCCGGAUUUAUUGGGUGUAAAGGGCGCGUAGACGGUUAGAUAAGUUAGUUGUGAAAUCCCUAGGCUCAACUUAGGAACUGCAACUAAAACUGUCUGACUUGAGUAUGGGAGAGGAAAGCGGAAUUCCUAGUGCAGCGGUGAAAUGCGUAGAUAUUAGGAAGAACACCGGUGGCGAAGGCGGCUUUCUGGACUGUAACUGACACUGAGGCACGAAAGCGUGGGGAGCAAACAGGAUUAGAUACCCUGGUA
RNAcentral lists this ribosomal RNA (436 nucleotides) under uncultured Oscillospiraceae bacterium. RNAcentral's name for it is "bacterial SSU rRNA". It matches the Rfam family "Bacterial small subunit ribosomal RNA", at positions 341 to 792 of the family's 1533-position model. The record is from RNAcentral. Lineage: Bacteria; Bacillati; Bacillota; Clostridia; Eubacteriales; Oscillospiraceae.